GGGCUGCACCCAUGGCAUAUAGAGAUUCCCAGGCUAGGAGUCUAAUUGGAGCUACAGCUGCGGGCUUACACCACAGCCAAAGCAACGCCAGAUCCGAGCCGCAUCUGCAACCUACACCACAGCUCAUGGCAACACCAGAUCCUUAACCCACUGAGCAAGACCAAGUAUCAAACCUGCAACCUCAUGGUUCCUAGUCAGAUUUGUUUCUGCUGCGCCAAGACAGGAAAUCCUCCUCUACCAUCUUGAUCUGUCUCUAUUAAUUUGUAAAAUCGAUUGAUAAUUCUUGCCUAUAACAGGUAUUACUAUAGUCUUAGCAAAACUAUGAUUUUUUUUUUUUGCUUUCAUCAUUCCUUUCAUAUUUAUUAAGAUUCUACUAUAAGAAAAAGAGCUGUUCCUUCUCUCAUAUUUAUUUAGGUAUUCGAUUAUUUAUUUUUGUAAGACUCAGGGAUGGUUGUGUAUUAUAAUCCAUUACUGUCCUUAUUUACAAUGUUACCCUUAUUGUCCCACUGUUGCUCACAAGCCACUGAGCUCAAGGUGUUUUGGUGUGUUUUUGACAUGUCCUUUCUUUAGCAGUUCCUGACCUUCUCACACAGGAUAUUCCAGGCUCGUCUUUUUUUUUUUUUUCAAUAUUUGCAAACCAUAUUUUUUUGGCCAUGCCUACAGCAUGUGGAAGUUCCAGGGCCAGGAAUGCAACCCAUGCUACAGCAACCCAAGCCGCUACAGCACCAACACCUGAUCCUUAACUAAUGGCACUGCGAAAGAACACACCGAACUCAUUUGCACUUCAGUUCCCCAGCCCUGGAGUCAGCUGCUCCUUUCAUGGGAGAAUGACAUUCACAAACCUUGGGCACUAGGUAUUGCCUGUUGCUACUAGGGCUAGUGCGUCUGGGCCCGCUGGUGGACAGAGCUAGGAAACUGAUGAUGCGUACACACACCAAAGUACUUUUUUUUAAAUCCCUGUUUUACAAACUAUAUAAAUGAGACACAGAAACAUUAAGUAACUUGGCCAAAAUCACAACGAUAAUAAGUAACAGAACUGAGAAGUCAAAAUAAUAAUAGAUUUACCACAAAACUAAAUAAGUGGAAGUAACUUCUUUACACAUACAAGUGAGCAGAGAGCAAUAAGCCUGAUAUUCCAACACAGAAACACACUUAGGGAAAUAACUACAAGUGUGCAAAAAUAACCAGGAUAAUAACAAUCAUGAACUGAACGCCUGCUUGAGACUGGGCCCACAGUAGCUCCUUCAGUCAUAACAACAUUGCAAGGUGGAUACUAAUAUCCACUGCUUUUUUUGGGCUGCAUCUGCAGCAUAUUGAAGUUCCCAGGCUAGGGAGCAAAUCAGAACUGCAGCUGCUGGGCUACAUCACAGCCACAGCAAUGGUAGAUCUGAGGUGCAUCCGUGACCUAUACUGCAGCUCAUGGCAAUAUCGGAUCCUUAACCACUGAGCAAGGCCAGGGAUCAAACCCACAUCCUCAUGGAUACUAGUUGGAUUCGUUACCACUGAGGCACUGAGUCACAGAGUGGGUAUUAGUGGAGAACCAAAGGUCAUAAAAGCCAAGUGACUUCUCCAAGACUACGUAGUUAAAUGAUAGAGCAAACAAGCAGUUGACCCCAGGUCUGUCUGGAUAUAAAGUCCAUGCUCUUUCACUGUAUCAAUGUUUUCCAAAACUGAUUAUAGAUAAAACAUAAAUAAGCUUUUAUUUUAACAGUCAUAUGUUUAUUUUAAUGCAUCUUGGAAAUAAAUCUAAGCAUUAUUGAACUCAUAAUCUCAUGGAAAAUAUUGCAUAGAAUGAAGAUAUUAUAUAAAUUAAAUUUAUUUAAAGAAAAAAGUAUGAAAUAAAUAAUAGUAGAGGUAGUAUAAGCUAUAGAAAAAAUAAUUAAGAUGGUUCAAAAGUGUCUGAUGGGAGUUCCUCUCGUGGCUCAGUGGAAACGAAACUGACUAGCAUUUAUGAGGAUGCAGGUUCAAUCCCUGGCCUUGCUCAGUGGAUUAAGGAUCCAGCACUGUCGUGAGCUGUGGUAUAGGUCACAGAUGCAGCUUGGAUCUGGUGUUGCUGUGGCUGUGGUGUAGGCCAUCAACGACAGCUCUGAUUCGACCCCUAGCCUGGGAACCUCCACGUGCCACGGGUGCAGCCCUAAAAAGGCCAAAACAGACAUAAAACUACAAGUCUUGAACCUGGGUUUUAACUUGAGGUGAGUCACCAUUUCCUUUGUGAACCUGAGCAUUUCAUUUGCUCUCUCUGGGUCUCAGUUUCCUCCCCUGAAAAUAAAAGGGGCAGUGGGAGUUCCAUGGUGGCUCAGUGGUUGGUGAAUCUGACCAGGAUCCAUGGGGACACAGGUUCAAUCCCUGGACUUGUUCAGUGGGUUGGGGAUCUGGCAGUGCCGUGAGCUGUGGUGUAGGUCACAGAUGCAGCUCAGAUCCCGUUUUGCUGUGGCUGUGGCCGGCAGCUGUAGCUCUGAUAUGACCCCUAGCCUGGGAACCACCAUAUGCUGCAGGUGCAACCCUAAAAAGAUGAAAAAAACAAAAAUAAAAGGAGAGUGAUUUAGUUAAUUAGUACAACUCUUUUUUUUUUUUUUUGUCUUUUGUCCUUUUAGGGCCUCAUCCACAGCAUAUGGAGGUUUCCAGGCCAGCAGUCCAAUCAGAACUAUAGCUGCUGGCCUACACCACAGCCACAGCAACUUGGGAUCCUUAACCCACUGAGCAAGGCCAGGGAUCGAACCAGCAACCUCAUGGUUCCUAGUCAGAUUCGUUUCCUCUGUGCCACGACAGGAAGCCCAGUACAACUCUUUUAAAAUCAAUUUGGUAAUGAUAUCAAGAAGCAUAAAGCUGUUCUCAACUUUUGACCCAGUAAUUCCACUUGAGAAAUCUUCCCCAAGACAGCAAUUCAACAUUUGGAAAACAGUCACAAGCACAAAGAAACUGAUCAAUAUCCAAAAAAUAAAACAACCUAAGUAUUCAGCAAUGAGACAUUUAAUAAUCUGGAGAACAAAUACUUGGGAGUGUUAGGCAGUCAUUCAAAACAUCAGUUAUAAAUGUUUUAAGACAACACAGGAACAUGCCUACAAAAGUGAACAAAAAGAAAUUUGUUCACACGCUGUGGCUAUAUUUAAAAAAUUAUACAUGGAGUUCCCACUGUGGCUCUGUGGAAAUGAACCUGAUUGAGAUCCACGAGGAUGUGGGUUUGAUCCCUGGCUCAGUGGGUCAAGGAUCUGGCAUUGCUGUGAGCUGAGGUGUAGGUUGCAGACAUGGCUUGGAUCUGGCAUUGUUGAGGCUGUGGCAUAGGCCAGCAGCUGCAGUUCCAACUCAACCCCUAGCCUGGGAACUUCCACAUGCUGCAGGUGUGGUCCUAAAAAGCAAAAACAGAGAAAAAGAAAAAGAAAAUAAAUACAGGAGUUCCCGUCGUGGCGCAGUGGUUAACGAAUCCGACUAGGAACCAUAAGGUUGCGGGUUCGAUCCCUGCCCUUGCUCAGUGGGUUAACGAUCCGGCGUUGCCAUGAGCUGUGGUGUAGGUUGCAGACGCGGCUCGGAUCCCGAGUUGCUGUGGCUCUGGCGUAGGCCGGUGGCUACAGCUCCGAUUCAACCCCUAGCCUGGGAACCUCCAUAUGCCGAGGGAGCGGCCCAAGAAAUAGCAACAACAACAACAACAACAACAACAACAAAGACAAAAAUAAAUAAAUAAAUAAAUAAAAAUAAAAAAAAAAAACAAACAAACAAAAAAAAAGAAAAUAAAUACAAUUAAAUGAGGAGUUCCCAUUGUGGCUCAGUGGAAAUGAACCUGACCAGCAUACAUGAGGACACAGGUUCAAUCCCUGGCCUCGCUCAGUGGGUUAAUGAUUUGGUGUUGCUGUGAGCUGUGGUGUAGGUCGAAGACGAGGCUUGGAUAUGGCGUUGCUGUGGCUGUGGUGUAGGCAGGCAGCUGUAGCUCCAAUUCGACCCCUAGCC
RNAcentral lists this long non-coding RNA (3942 nucleotides) under Sus scrofa (pig). RNAcentral describes it as "lncRNA (ENSSSCG00000054213.1)". The record is from RNAcentral. Lineage: Eukaryota; Metazoa; Chordata; Mammalia; Artiodactyla; Suidae.